Molecule: unclassified non-coding RNA, 261 nt
Filed under: plant metagenome
Description: partial contains small subunit ribosomal RNA and internal transcribed spacer 1
Rfam family: Eukaryotic small subunit ribosomal RNA (bases 1-46)
Source: RNAcentral
AAGUCGUAACAAGGUUUCCGUAGGUGAACCUGCGGAGGGAUCAUUAAUAAAGCCAUGGAGUGCACUUAAUUGUGGCUCUUAAACUUUUAAACUUUCACACCAACCCAGAGGGGCGUUUGGUGAGCACUUGUGCUAUACCAAUUCUAUCCCAGUACGCUUUUCUGAGCCUUUUGGUUCAGGAUUGCAUUACAUAUAAGUUAAGCAUACAUUUUCCUAUUAACUACAAUGAAUGAUUUAAGAAUGUAAACCCCUUUAAAUAUA